AAGCAUAUCAAUAAGCGGAGGAAAAGAAACCAACAGGGAUUGCCCCAGUAACGGCGAGUGAAGCGGCAACAGCUCAAAUUUGAAAUCUGGCUCUCAGGGCCCGAGUUGUAAUUUGUAGAGGAUGCUUUUGGCGAGGUGCCUUCCGAGUUCCCUGGAACGGGACGCCACAGAGGGUGAGAGCCCCGUAUGGUCGGACACCGAGCCUCUGUAAAGCUCCUUCGACGAGUCGAGUAGUUUGGGAAUGCUGCUCAAAAUGGGAGGUAUAUGUCUUCUAAAGCUAAAUAUUGGCCAGAGACCGAUAGCGCACAAGUAGAGUGAUCGAAAGAUGAAAAGCACUUUGAAAAGAGGGUUAAAAAGUACGUGAAAUUGUUGAAAGGGAAGCGCCUAUGACCAGACUUGCGCCCGGUGAAUCACCCAGCGUUCUCGCUGGUGCACUUUGCCGGGCACAGGCCAGCAUCAGUUCAGCGCGGGGGAGAAAGGCUUCGGGAAUGUGGCUCCCUCGGGAGUGUUAUAGCCCGCUGCGUAAUGCCCUGCGCCGGACUGAGGUACGCGCAUUGCAAGGAUGCUGGCGUAAUGGUCAUCAGCGACCCGUCUUGAAACACGGACCAAGGAGUCGUCUUCGUAUGCGAGUGUUCGGGUGUCAAACCCCUACGCGUAAUGAAAGUGAACGCAGGUGAGAGCUUCGGCGCAUCACCGACCGAUCCUGAUGUUCUCGGAUGGAUUUGAGUAAGAGCAUACGGGGCCGGACCCGAAAGAAGGUGAACUAUGCCUGUAUAGGGUGAAGCCAGAGGAAACUCUGGUGGAGGCUCGCAGCGGUUCUGACGUGCGAAUCGAUCGUCAAAUAUGGGCAUGGGGGCGAAAGACUAAUCGAACCUUCUAGUAGCUGGUUUCCGCCGAAU
RNAcentral lists this ribosomal RNA (899 nucleotides) under Beauveria bassiana. RNAcentral's name for it is "partial large subunit ribosomal RNA". It matches the Rfam family "Eukaryotic large subunit ribosomal RNA", at positions 36 to 966 of the family's 3401-position model. The record is from RNAcentral. Lineage: Eukaryota; Fungi; Ascomycota; Sordariomycetes; Hypocreales; Cordycipitaceae.